Molecule: long non-coding RNA, 609 nt
Filed under: Salvia miltiorrhiza (redroot sage)
Lineage: Eukaryota; Viridiplantae; Streptophyta; Magnoliopsida; Lamiales; Lamiaceae
Description: long non-coding RNA (SMIL_LNC002869)
Source: RNAcentral
GUUUUUCUUUGAAUAAGGCCCAAACAAUUUAAUUAAAAUAGGUCCAAAUCCUUUAAUUAAAAGAAGCCCAUCAGAUUUUAUUUGUAAAGGGCCGAGCCCAAACAUUUAAAUCGAAGCCCAUCUGUUAAUUAAAUAAGGGCCCAAUAUUUUCGGCCCAAACCCGGCUCAAACCCGGCUCAAACCCGGCCCAAACCCGGCUGAAACCCUAACCUAAAUAUACACACACAAUAAAACACACUCAGCACACACACAUCAAAUGCGCCUCUCUCUCUCUAUCUCUAUCUCUCGGCUCUCUCUCUCCCUACUCUCUCUGCUCUCUCUCUUUACUCUCUCUGCUCUCUCUCUUCGUUCUGCCGCCGCCGCUGCCGUUCAACGGCGCCGUCGCCGCCGGCGAGCGGCGCGGCCUCUCCUCCUCUCUCCCUAAACUCUUCCCCCCCUCUUCUCCUCUAUCUCUCUCGCUCAAUCUCGGCCGCUGGAAAGGCACAGCAGCGCAACCACGCCGCCGCUCCGUCGCCUCCGCCUCUCCUCCAUGGCAGAUCCGCCGCCGCCGUUCAACGCCACGGAUGUUCACGGCCAUCGCCUGGCCGUGGAAGAGCACGGCCGCCGCCU